CUCUGGUGGAUUAGUGGCGAACGGGUGAGUAACACGUGAGCAACCUGCCCUGGACUCUGGGAUAAGCGCUGGAAACGGCGUCUAAUACUGGAUACGAGACGUGGCCGCAUGGUCAACGUUUGGAAAGAUUUUUCGGUCCGGGAUGGGCUCGCGGCCUAUCAGCUUGUUGGUGAGGUAAUGGCUCACCAAGGCGUCGACGGGUAGCCGGCCUGAGAGGGUGACCGGCCACACUGGGACUGAGACACGGCCCAGACUCCUACGGGAGGCAGCAGUGGGGAAUAUUGCACAAUGGGCGGAAGCCUGAUGCAGCAACGCCGCGUGAGGGAUGACGGCCUUCGGGUUGUAAACCUCUUUUAGCAGGGAAGAAGCGUGAGUGACGGUACCUGCAGAAAAAGCGCCGGCUAACUACGUGCCAGCAGCCGCGGUAAUACGUAGGGCGCAAGCGUUAUCCGGAAUUAUUGGGCGUAAAGAGCUCGUAGGCGGUUUGUCGCGUCUGCUGUGAAAUCCCGAGGCUCAACCUCGGGCCUGCAGUGGGUACGGGCAGACUAGAGUGCGGUAGGGGAGAUUGGAAUUCCUGGUGUAGCGGUGGAAUGCGCAGAUA
Molecule: ribosomal RNA, 601 nt
Filed under: Microbacterium resistens
Lineage: Bacteria; Bacillati; Actinomycetota; Actinomycetes; Micrococcales; Microbacteriaceae
Description: bacterial SSU rRNA
Rfam family: Bacterial small subunit ribosomal RNA
Source: RNAcentral